Molecule: ribosomal RNA, 253 nt
Filed under: uncultured bacterium
Lineage: Bacteria
Description: partial 16S ribosomal RNA
Rfam family: Bacterial small subunit ribosomal RNA
Source: RNAcentral
UACGUAGGGUGCGAGCGUUGUCCGGAAUUAUUGGGCGUAAAGGGCUCGUAGGCGGUUUGUCGCGUCGGGAGUGAAAACUCAGGGCUUAACCCUGAGCCUGCUUCCGAUACGGGCAGACUAGAGGUAUGCAGGGGAGAACGGAAUUCCUGGUGUAGCGGUGAAAUGCGCAGAUAUCAGGAGGAACACCGGUGGCGAAGACGGGUUGCUAGGCCGACACUGACGCUGAAGCGCGAAAGCCAGGGGAGCAAACGGG